This 2688-nucleotide long non-coding RNA is filed under the name Podarcis lilfordi (Lilford's wall lizard). Lineage: Eukaryota; Metazoa; Chordata; Lepidosauria; Squamata; Lacertidae. The record is from RNAcentral.
UUUCCUUUUUUUAUUAUUUGUUUAUUUGGUUUUUCAGAUUAAAAUUUUACAGUCAUAUAUCAAACACAGAUAAUAAAAACAAGAUUCCAAUGAAUCUCCUGGACUUCCAUCCUCCCCUUUGUGGGUCCUAUUAUUAAUCGUUUUCUCCUGCAUCACAAAAGCCAUGGAAAUAACUGAGAUUUAGCCCUGUGGUUAACUGGCUACAGCCUACGUCAGGCAGUGUCAACAUGAGGUCACACCACCCAGUCUGACUUCUUCCAGUAUGAAGCAUCAGAGUGAAGUCAAAGUGGUCAGCCUCUAACCCCUUCAGGCAGACAGCAUCAGCAUGAGAUCACAACUAUGGCCAACUUUUCAACAGCAUGUUGACACAAUGGAGAUCACACUCCUUUAGUUAGACAGCAUCAGCAUGAGGUCACAAUGGCCAGUCUUAAUUCCUUGAGUGUCAGGGGAAUGAUGGAGACCACCUCCCCAUCCUGACCCUUCCAGGGAGGAGGAAGAUAAAGACAGUACAGAUUUACAACAGGGGUUUGCGGGAGGUCACAGCUCAGAGACAGAUGAGGGGGAAAGUUGGGAAAUCAUGGGAAAGGAGGAGCAGGCAGAGCUGGAGCAGCAGCUGGCUGACACAGUGUCAUUAGAAAGCAUUCCAGACCCACCAUCUCCUAGAACCCAGCACGCCUUGAAAGCAGGAGAGCAAAGAGCUCAAAAACAGAGGACACUUAACGGCACCAGUAGAAGAGAUGAUGAGACUGACAAAUGAGGAAGUGGAAUGUAGGAAUGAGGAAGUGGAUGUAGAGAUUCACAUGGCUCAACGCCAUUAUCCAAGAGGCUGGAUUCUAUAGCCUCUCUCUGUAAAUAUUAAAAUAAAAAAGGACGGUAAGAAACUUUUCCUUGUUUUUCUACUUUCCUGGGCAACCAGUUGGGAGCCACUGACAGCAUCCUGACAUUGGGUGAGAAUAUUGCUUAGUCCAGGCUUCCUCAACCUCGGCCCUCCAGAUGUUUUGAGACGACAAUUCCCAUCAUCCCUGACCACUGGUCCUGCUUGCUAGGGAUCAUGGGAGUUGUAGGCCAAAAACAUCUAGAGGGCCAAGGUUGAGGAAGCCUGGCUUAGUCUCUUCCUUGCUCUAGGCACAAUGUCCUAUCCAAUGGAGGCAGCGGGCAGGAGAUGAAGUGUGCACAAUCUAUUUCUCAUGGAGAUGGGCAGCAGUAGAACUGGAGCCCAGUGGUCACCAGGGUCUCUCUCACUGAAAAGAGAAGCAACAGUGAAAGGGGAUGAGAGAGCCAGCUGGCUGGCAGGCAGGCAUCCCAGCUAUUCGUAGGGGACUUUCUGCACUUACCAUUUAUAACUGGUAUAGUUGCUGGAUUUUGGGAUUUGUGGUGUGUUGCCAAACAACAACAUCCUUGAUCAGCUAGUAUCCCAGAAUAAUGUACUCAAAAGAACACCGUGUGUGAGCUCCGUUCAGAGGAGAGACCUGGCAGAUAGAGAUGAUGAUAAUGAGUCGAGGUGCUGCCCAUGACAGCAGUCAGUAGCUGCAGACAAAAUUCCAUGACAAUAGGCAGAUUCACCAUAGCUCAGGCAGAAAUGUAGUUACGCUCUGCACAGGGUUUCAGACAAGGGACUUUCCCAUCCCUACCUGGAGAUGUUGAGGAUUGAACCUGGAACCUUUUGCAUACAAAACAGAUUUUCUAUCACUGAGCUAGUGCCCUUCACCUCCAUUUCUCUAGUCCCUGUCCCUGUUGAAGGUAGAGGCCCAAGGCACUGAGGAAGAGGAGGAGGAGGAGGAGGAGGAAUAUGGUAUUGACAGCCGCUGUAGGGGUAAGGUUGAGGGUGAGAAAAAGAAAAAGAAAAUAUAUAAGAAAUGUUCUUAGAAGAUGUCUCCUGAGAAAUCUCUGCUCUGCUCUCUAGCACCAGCACACAAUUUGGGAAUUAAUGUGCUACACAACAGUCAUUUCAAAAGUUUGAGGAAGUAUUGGCAGCAGGUGUAUCUACCUCACUCUGCACUUCUGCACUGGGUUGCUUUCUUUUGGGGUGGGGGAAAGAGGUUGGUGGCAGCCCCUGGGACCCCCACCCCCUGAAUCUGUGGACCCGGGCAUUAGCCCAAAAAAGCUGAAUGUCGCCACUAGGCCCUUGUUUGUUUCAUACGAAAUCAUAACGUAUUCUGCCUAAUUUCAGCAACGUUUUGACUUACAGCCACACAAGUGUAUGCGUGUUUGCUCAUAAGUAAGUCCCAUCAGUUCAAUGGCACUGCUUCCUGCUAAGUGUGCUUAGGACUGGAGCUUUAGAAAGUUAUUUCUGACAGCUACUAUUUUUCAGACAAAUGUGUGCUUACUCGCAAGUACCUCGGAAAAUAUGCCGAAAGCCAGUGGGGGUGGGAUACAGAUAACAAUUGUCUUCAAGAAGGUUUCGGGAAGUAUUUUGUUUUCAUCAUUUUCUGUUUGGCAGGUUUUGAAGCGGAUAUAUUUGUAUUCACAGCGUUUCCCAUUUUCCCGUACACUGGUUCACAUUUUCAUAACUUUUACUACUCUUUUCUCCUUUAAUAGUGAGAAAGAACUUGGCAUUCUAAGAGAUCUCACUGAAGCUUGGCCCUUAAAAUCACUGCUGCAGUUAUGCGCUGACCUGUAAGAUGACUUCCAAGACUUUUCACACAUGAGAGGAAAUAGACAAUAAAACUACUCCUUAACAUUCUCUAC